This is a small nucleolar RNA of Humulus lupulus (European hop), 107 nucleotides long. Lineage: Eukaryota; Viridiplantae; Streptophyta; Magnoliopsida; Rosales; Cannabaceae. The record is from RefSeq and is a predicted model, not a curated record.
UAGCCAUGGUGCAGGCAAUGAUUCAACAAAUCUUUGAAUCUUUCCCAAACUUGAUAGAACAUUUCAUUGCCCUUUUGGGAAAAUGUGAAAAUUUAUCGUUUUAGACU